Long non-coding RNA from Triticum dicoccoides, 1394 nucleotides. RefSeq lists it as uncharacterized. Lineage: Eukaryota; Viridiplantae; Streptophyta; Magnoliopsida; Poales; Poaceae. The transcript is spliced from 5 exons. The record is from RefSeq and is a predicted model, not a curated record.
CUAUCGCCCUCUCACAGAGCGACCUAGGCGAAACAGCCGUCCCGCAGAGCGCCGCCACUGAAGGAGCCUGAAGCAGCGCCGCCCCUUCCCUCCUCUCGCUCGCUUGAGGAGCGCGGCCGCCGCGACCCCUCGGCCGAUCUACGCGGGCGGCGACCCUCGGCACCAUGAUCUUGGAGAAACAGGUCCUGUCGUUCGCAAAGGCGGUCGAGGAGAUCACCGCACUCGAGCGUCUUGGCCCGGACGACAUCGAGGCGUUCCGCGAGCGCCGAAUGCUGUAGAUGCGCCGCGUGGCCGAGCGCCGGCCCAAGUGGUGUGCCCUGGGCACGGGAGUAUGCCGAGGUCCUCGAGAAAGAGUUCUUCUCCGUCGGCAAGGCCGGUGAGCUCCUCGUGACUUCUACCGUGGCAACUGGCUGUGCAAGGUACACCAACACCAUCCCUCAGUUUGCAUCGUGCGAACCCUACACAUGGCCGCUGCGGCCGGCGGCUGGCGGUGAAAGAUCUGGUGGACGCAAGAGACGUUUAUGGUCCCAUCUCCAUGUUUGGUCGCACCACGGUACUCCAGAAUGGCUACUGGCAAGUUUUUGUGGAACGCCUCCCUGCUUCCACUCCCAUCCUCCCCUAAACAAUAAGGGCCUCUGUUGACAGCAUUUCCCUCCCAAAACUGAAGUCCUAUUCAAAUCGGUGCCAAGGUUAAUCUCGAGUCAAGGGAAGCCCCUGAAUUGAUUAAAUAGAAUACUGAAAAAAAAAGAAGUUACCCUUUUAGAAUUUCAACCAUUAUAUCACUGCAUCAUGAUGUUUUGCAAAACACGGUCUAUGGGACCGUAGGAUUUAUAUUCAGCCAUCCAUCUUUGCGUCCUUCAAAUUCUCAACGAUACAUGGACAUUCUAAGUACAAGCAACAUACAACAGUCCAGUGCCUUGACUAGCCGCCGGUACUCAUCGCCACCUUUUUACGUGCGUGGCAGCCUUUCCUCGCUUGCUGGCACCCAACUGUAUUCCUCUUCCCCGCCUUUAGAUCUUUACCUGCUCUGUUUAGUUAACAACUUAAUGUAUGUUUCGACAGGAUUGGGUUGAUUUCUAUGCAUGCGGUUCACUAAGUUAAGAAAUUUUAUCCAUGUUUCAAAUUGAAGUGACAAUUAGUACAAAGUUGGGUCAUCUAUUUUGGAACGGAGGAAGUACGUGUGAGCGGAAUUGCUCUGCAUUUUUGGCACAUACUUUUCUUAAGAUGAUUCUUCGCUAGCAGUUCAAUGUUACCAAAGUGCCACUGACAUGUCACAAAAUAAAAUUGUAUUUUGGUAGUUUAGUUGGUAACAUGAAUCAAGGGCCUCCAUUCAGAAAAUUAUGAAUUGUCGGCCAGUUGUCCUACAGAUGAUUUUUUUAGUCUUUUUAAAACCA